Molecule: ribosomal RNA, 253 nt
Filed under: uncultured bacterium
Lineage: Bacteria
Description: partial 16S ribosomal RNA
Rfam family: Bacterial small subunit ribosomal RNA
Source: RNAcentral
UACGAAGGGGGCUAGCGUUGCUCGGAAUCACUGGGCGUAAAGGGCGCGUAGGCGGAUCUUUAAGUCAGAGGUGAAAUCCUGGAGCUCAACUCCAGAACUGCCUUCGAUACUGAGAGUCUCGAGUCCGGGAGAGGUGAGUGGAACUGCGAGUGUAGAGGUGAAAUUCGUAGAUAUUCGCAAGAACACCAGUGGCGAAGGCGGCUCACUGGCCCGGUACUGACGCUGAGGUGCGAAAGCGUGGGGAGCAAACAGG